UACGUAGGUGGCAAGCGUUAUCCGGAAUUAUUGGGCGUAAAGCGCGCGUAGGCGGUUUUUUAAGUCUGAUGUGAAAGCCCACGGCUCAACCGUGGAGGGUCAUUGGAAACUGGAAAACUUGAGUGCAGAAGAGGAAAGUGGAAUUCCAUGUGUAGCGGUGAAAUGCGCAGAGAUAUGGAGGAACACCAGUGGCGAAGGCGACUUUCUGGUCNUGUAACUGACGCUGAUGUGCGAAAGCGUGGGGAUCAAACAGGAUUAGAUAC
This 263-nucleotide ribosomal RNA is filed under the name uncultured Staphylococcus sp. RNAcentral's name for it is "partial 16S ribosomal RNA". It matches the Rfam family "Bacterial small subunit ribosomal RNA", at positions 524 to 785 of the family's 1533-position model. Lineage: Bacteria; Bacillati; Bacillota; Bacilli; Caryophanales; Staphylococcaceae. The record is from RNAcentral.